This 56-nucleotide transfer RNA is filed under the name Schistocephalus solidus. It matches the Rfam family "tRNA", at positions 1 to 55 of the family's 71-position model. Rfam says of the family: Transfer RNA (tRNA) molecules are approximately 80 nucleotides in length. Their secondary structure includes four short double-helical elements and three loops (D, anti-codon, and T loops). Further hydrogen bonds mediate the characteristic L-shaped molecular structure. tRNAs have two regions of fundamental functional importance: the anti-codon, which is responsible for specific mRNA codon recognition, and the 3' end, to which the tRNAs corresponding amino acid is attached (by aminoacyl-tRNA synthetases). tRNAs cope with the degeneracy of the genetic code in two manners: having more than one tRNA (with a specific anti-codon) for a particular amino acid; and 'wobble' base-pairing, i.e. permitting non-standard base-pairing at the 3rd anti-codon position. The record is from Rfam by way of RNAcentral. Lineage: Eukaryota; Metazoa; Platyhelminthes; Cestoda; Diphyllobothriidea; Diphyllobothriidae.
GAGCCCGUGGCUCAAUGGUAGAGCGUUCGACUCAAAUUCCAAUGUCCGCGGGUUUG